This 322-nucleotide ribosomal RNA is filed under the name uncultured eukaryote. RNAcentral's name for it is "partial 18S ribosomal RNA". It matches the Rfam family "Eukaryotic small subunit ribosomal RNA", at positions 1470 to 1796 of the family's 1831-position model. The record is from RNAcentral.
CCCUUAGAUGUCCUGGGCCGCACGCGCGCUACACUGACAUGUUCAACAAGUUUCUCCUAGUUCGACAGGACUGGGAAAUCUUUGAACGCAUGUCGUGAUAGGGAUAGAUCAUUGCAAUUAUUGAUCUUGAACGAGGAAUUCCCAGUAAACGCGAGUCAUCAGCUCGCAUUGAUUACGUCCCUGCCCUUUGUACACACCGCCCGUCGCACCUACCGAUUGAAUGUUUCGGUGAAGAUUCCGGAUAGGACUGAUUUGAUUUAUUUCAUUUCUGACCUAAAAGCUAUCUAAACCUCAACAUUUAGAGGAAGGUGAAGUCGUAACA